Artibeus jamaicensis (Jamaican fruit-eating bat) is the source of this 651-nucleotide non-coding RNA. NCBI's taxonomy places the organism in Eukaryota, Metazoa, Chordata, Mammalia, Chiroptera, Phyllostomidae. The record is from the annotation of a RefSeq genome assembly.
GGAAAACCUGCUUCAGCUGUGGGGCCACAGGAGGCAGGACUCAGGGAUGGUCUCCACCAUGGUCUGGUCCCCUCUCCUGCUCACCCUCUUGUCUCACUGCACAGGAUCCUGGGCCCAGUCUGUGGUGACUCAGCCACCCUCGAUGUCUGGGAACCCAGGACAGACCAUCACCAUCUCCUGCACUGGAAGCAGCUCCAACAUUGGGGGUAAUUCUGUGGACUGGUACCAACAGCUCCCAGGAAAGGCCCCCAAAGUCCUCAUCUAUGAUAAUAGCAAUCGAUACUCAGGGGUCCCUGACCGAUUCUCUGGCUCCAAGUCUGGCAGCUCAGCCACCCUGACCAUCACUGGCCUCCAGGCUGAGGAUGAGGCUGAUUAUUUCUGCGCAGCAUGGGACAGCAGUGUCAGUGGUCCCACAGUGCUGCAGGCCUGUGGGGAAGUGAGACAAGAACCCCUGUGGCAUCUGUGAGCUGGGUGAACACUGCAGCAGCUGCUGCUCAGGCUCAGCCUGUGCCCUGUGACUUCUCCUCAUUCUCUGGCUUCUGUCCUGACCCAGGUUCCCCCAGGAACACUCCCUGGGAUUGAAGGGUGCUCUGUCCUUUCUGUCCUCAGAGUCACUCACCACACCCCUUUCCCAGGCUAAAUGUCAUAAAU